AACAAUAAACCUCAAUACCCCAUAUGGUAUGAGGGUGAAGCGGACCGUCCCCAUACCCCGUCCGGUAUGAGCGCCAAAACAUUUAAAAUCUCCAUACCCCGUCCGGUAUGAGAUAACAUUCUCGGUAGGGUUCCUUAUGAACCCGGUCCGUCCACCAUCUCUCAGGAUAUCUAGUGAGACUGUCAACUUAUCUAUUUAUCAAUUCACGCUCAUUUCCUAUUAUUUCUUAGCUUUCCGUUUCCCACAUAAACAUGAAUACUAAAGCAAUUAACGAGCAUCCAACAAGGUAAGCAUAUCAUUAUAUUCACAAAAUCAGGCCGAAAUGAACUAAACAGUGAUUCAUGCAUUCAAAAUCAUAAAAUAAAAUAAACCAUAUACCAUAAUGCAUUUAAACUGUAAAAUAAAUCAAAUAGGAACUGACAGAUAAAUAU
This 431-nucleotide long non-coding RNA is filed under the name Carica papaya (papaya). RNAcentral describes it as "long non-coding RNA (CPAP_LNC001965)". The record is from RNAcentral. Lineage: Eukaryota; Viridiplantae; Streptophyta; Magnoliopsida; Brassicales; Caricaceae.